GACACUACAUGCUGUAACCAAAAGUGACGUAACGUCAGUGUCUGUAACAGGAAGCACCCAUCAUCAGUGCUGCAUCAACCACAAUGCCAUCAAUUUCACCUCCUCGUCAGGAUUUUUUUUCUGCCAUCACACAUCGGACUGAAUGACACAUUUGGAAGGGGCUCUCAAUUGUACAUUAGGAUUGAGAGAGGAGGAAAAUGACCCAGUAGAUGAGAAUUCAAGUAUGACAGCUCCUACCCAUCAACUGUAUCAUGACUCGCAGACAUUGAUGAUUCAGCUUUUUUUACUUUAAUCUCAAAGACUGCACAAUAUAGAGAAUGUUGUGCAUAUAUUUCCGAUGCAACGGAAGUAAUGUAAUGUAUGCAGUAGAAAUGACAGUCCAACAUCACCAGGCAUUUAAAUAGGCAGUCCAUCUUCGCACUUCUGAUGUGUAUGUAUCAUACCACAGGUUGAGUCAUUGGAGCAUUUCAACUUCAACUGGGGAAUUAAAUCAAGCAACUGUCAAGUCAUAAGCUCUCUCCUUUAACCUUAAUGCCACCACUGCCUAUGAAAUAUGGAUUUGUUCAAAGGGGGCAUGUUAUCGUCGAUCAUGAAGCUCAGGCUCCGGUUAAAUAUGUGUUGAAAAACCACACACAACUGAGUAACACAUCCUAUAAGUACUCUGUGGCUGAGGCUGUCAGCCUGAUUAUGUGAUGUGUUUUUCAAACAAAUUUGACAAGGAAUAGUUAUGCAAACUGCUUAUAAUUACAUAGGCUUGCGAUGACUUUUCCUCAUUAAAUUUGGUAUUUGUUUUUAACUUAUUGGUGUCAUGCUGGUCUUCCA
Long non-coding RNA from Acanthopagrus latus (yellowfin seabream), 822 nucleotides. RefSeq lists it as uncharacterized. NCBI's taxonomy places the organism in Eukaryota, Metazoa, Chordata, Actinopteri, Spariformes, Sparidae. The record is from RefSeq and is a predicted model, not a curated record. The transcript is spliced from 3 exons.